RNAcentral lists this transfer RNA (73 nucleotides) under Dipodomys ordii (Ord's kangaroo rat). It matches the Rfam family "tRNA". From Rfam's summary of the family: Transfer RNA (tRNA) molecules are approximately 80 nucleotides in length. Their secondary structure includes four short double-helical elements and three loops (D, anti-codon, and T loops). The record is from Rfam by way of RNAcentral. Lineage: Eukaryota; Metazoa; Chordata; Mammalia; Rodentia; Heteromyidae.
GGAAAUGUGGCUCAAAUGGUAGAGCUUCUGACUUGGAAGUAUGAGGCCCUGAGUUCAAUCCCCAGUACCACCA